GGCAGCACGAUGUAGCAAUACAUUGGUGGCGACCGGCGCACGGGUGAGUAACGCGUAUGCAACCUACCUAUCAGAGGGGAAUAACCCGGCGAAAGUCGGACUAAUACCGCAUAAAACAGGGGUUCCACAUGGAAAUAUUUGUUAAAGAAUUAUCGCUGAUAGAUGGGCAUGCGUUCCAUUAGAUAGUUGGUGAGGUAACGGCUCACCAAGUCCACGAUGGAUAGGGGUUCUGAGAGGAAGGUCCCCCACACUGGUACUGAGACACGGACCAGACUCCUACGGGAGGCAGCAGUGAGGAAUAUUGGUCAAUGGGCGAGAGCCUGAACCAGCCAAGUCGCGUGAAGGAUGAAGGAUCUAUGGUUUGUAAACUUCUUUUAUAUGGGAAUAAAGUGAGGAACGUGUUCCUUUUUGUAUGUACCAUAUGAAUAAGCAUCGGCUAACUCCGUGCCAGCAGCCGCGGUAAUACGGAGGAUGCGAGCGUUAUCCGGAUUUAUUGGGUUUAAAGGGUGCGUAGGUGGUUAAUUAAGUCAGCGGUGAAAGUUUGUGGCUCAACCAUAAAAUUGCCGUUGAAACUGGUUGACUUGAGUAUAUUUGAGGUAGGCGGAAUGCGUGGUGUAGCGGUGAAAUGCAUAGAUAUCACGCAGAACUCCGAUUGCGAAGGCAGCUUACUAAACUAUAACUGACACUGAAGCACGAAAGCGUGGGGAUCAAACAGGAUUAGAUACCCUGGUAGUCCACGCAGUAAACGAUGAUUACUUGCUGUUUGCGAUACACAGUAAGCGGCACAGCGA
RNAcentral lists this ribosomal RNA (791 nucleotides) under uncultured bacterium. Its description in RNAcentral is "bacterial SSU rRNA". It matches the Rfam family "Bacterial small subunit ribosomal RNA", at positions 66 to 854 of the family's 1533-position model. The record is from RNAcentral.